GCGGGGGUUGUGAGUUAGCAUUACAUGUCAGUGGGUUAUAUCUUAACCCGUUGGACCUUUCGUAGGUUCGGUCGCACCGUCUUCACAGUCGAGAGACCUUCGUCAGAUACGUACAGGUGACGUAGCCGGUCCGAGUGGGACAGCUGGUGAGGAACGGGUCUAGCAUACGAUAGAGCUUUCCGUCCCGUGGUUUGGUUUAUCUACCCUUACUCUUCAUGAUUAAAUAAAUAACUAACUUAGACAUAUUAUGGUUCAGUUUUAUUUUACUAUUUGGAUA
Molecule: long non-coding RNA, 277 nt
Organism: Ananas comosus (pineapple)
Lineage: Eukaryota; Viridiplantae; Streptophyta; Magnoliopsida; Poales; Bromeliaceae
Exons: 2
Source: RefSeq, a predicted model, not a curated record